Molecule: ribosomal RNA, 458 nt
Filed under: Salmonella enterica subsp. enterica serovar Typhimurium
Lineage: Bacteria; Pseudomonadati; Pseudomonadota; Gammaproteobacteria; Enterobacterales; Enterobacteriaceae
Description: partial 23S ribosomal RNA
Rfam family: Bacterial large subunit ribosomal RNA
Source: RNAcentral
GAUUCGUCACACUAUCAUUAACUGAAUCCAUAGGUUAAUGAGGCGAACCGGGGGAACUGAAACAUCUAAGUACCCCGAGGAAAAGAAAUCAACCGAGAUUCCCCCAGUAGCGGCGAGCGAACGGGGAGGAGCCCAGAGCCUGAAUCAGCAUGUGUGUUAGUGGAAGCGUCUGGAAAGGCGCGCGAUACAGGGUGACAGCCCCGUACACAAAAGCGCAUGUGCUGUGAGCUCGAUGAGUAGGGCGGGACACGUGGUAUCCUGUCUGAAUAUGGGGGGACCAUCCUCCAAGGCUAAAUACUCCUGACUGACCGAUAGUGAACCAGUACCGUGAGGGAAAGGCGAAAAGAACCCCGGCGAGGGGAGUGAAAAAGAACCUGAAACCGUGUACGUACAAGCAGUGGGAGCACCCUUCGGGGUGUGACUGCGUACCUUUUGUAUAAUGGGUCAGCGACUUAUAU